Molecule: ribosomal RNA, 494 nt
Filed under: uncultured bacterium
Lineage: Bacteria
Description: partial 16S ribosomal RNA
Rfam family: Bacterial small subunit ribosomal RNA
Source: RNAcentral
AUGAACGCUGGCGGCGUGCCUAAUACAUGCAAGUCGAGCGAACGGACGAGAAGCUUGCUUCUCUGAUGUUAGCGGCGGACGGGUGAGUAACACGUGGAUAACCUACCUAUAAGACUGGGAUAACUUCGGGAAACCGGAGCUAAUACCGGAUAAUAUUUUGAACCGCAUGGUUCAAAAGUGAAAGACGGUCUUGCUGUCACUUAUAGAUGGAUCCGCGCUGCAUUAGCUAGUUGGUAAGGUAACGGCUUACCAAGGCAACGAUGCAUAGCCGACCUGAGAGGGUGAUCGGCCACACUGAAACUGAGACACGGUCCAGACUCCUACGGGAGGCAGCAGUAGGGAAUCUUCCGAAAGGGGCGAAAGCCUGACGGAGCAACGCCGCGUGAGUGAUGAAGGUCUUCGGAUCGUAAAACUCUGUUAUUAGGGAAGAACAUAUGUGUAAGUAACUGUGCACAUCUUGACGGGACCUAAUCAGAAAGCCACGGCUAACUACG